RNAcentral lists this long non-coding RNA (1726 nucleotides) under Dermacentor andersoni. RNAcentral describes it as "uncharacterized LOC126533439". Lineage: Eukaryota; Metazoa; Arthropoda; Arachnida; Ixodida; Ixodidae. The record is from RNAcentral.
GCAUGUCGGUACAUGUCUUGUCGCAACUCAAUUGCAACAAGCUUUUCUGUUAAUUUUGUGCAGUCAGUUCCUUUUUUUGGUGCUGCUCCGUUUUUAUGUGCAGCUGUUGUCCCAAGGACAGUGAACGUUUACAGGCAGCGAUUUUAAGUUCAGACAUGAUGGUUAUAAAAUGGCGACUUCUGCGGCAGAGUUUCCUGUUGGGCAGCGUAGUGUAUAAUGCAUGGUAUAAUGAUAUUCUGGCCCAUCAUAUGGUGGCAUGCUUGCUGUUAGUAUGACUGUCAGAGUCGGUUCACACCUCAUUCACUUGAAUUGUGUGCUCAAGGUCAUCAUGGACAUGCUAGGUGUGGAUGCUGGAAGGACUUUCCAGAAAGACAAGAAGUGUCAAUUACCCAACUAUUUUUUGUUUUGCUGCCCGACUCUGCACGGUUUCUUGAGGCUGUCAUCAGAACCCAGUGCAUCACAGACGGUGCUAAUGACUGCGCCAUACAACACUGCUGUCAGUGUGCCAAAGAUGGGCAAGAUGAACACCGAACACAGUGGAUCCAUUGACUGCAUUGCUAGUGUUGCAAAGAUAAAUGCUUAACCUCUUCUGUGCCAUUCCAUUAUCCCAAAUUCUGACCAAAAAUGACCAACGUUUUUUUAUUGAAAAAUCUUUUAUGAAAGACUUCUAAUGUUUUAAGGAGUAGUGACAUGAUAUUUUUGACAAUUCAUCUUAUUGUGUUAAGUGAAGGUCACAGAGCUCUAAACCCUAGAAAAAGAUAGUGGCAAGCCUCAGAUUGCUGUAAAUAAUUUCGUAUAACAGCUUUGCCACAACCAAUUUCGGUUUCAUUUCCAGAACAAUACUAUGUCAUGACGUCGCAACACAGUAUGUGGCCACAUGAGAGCAGCACAACGCAACAUUUUACACUUGGUCCAACUCGCUCGGUUGUCCGCUAUGCUGCUACGUUGGCCUUCACAAUGAGUAGCAGCAUACAAGGCAACUGAGAGAGCUGGAAAAAGUGUCAAAAUGUGUCAAAAUGUUGCAAUGUCCUGCUCCCACAUACUGAUCGUGAAGUGCACUGCUUGUUCAGCUUAAACCAAUUAUUUAAUGUCCUAUUAAAUAAUUACUGGUGCUCUGAGGCUUAUCAGUAUCUUUUCUAGGGUUUAGAGCUCUAUGACUUUCAUUCAAUGUAACAAAUGAACAUUUAAAGAUGUCAUGCCAGUACCCCUUUUCUCUAUUGUUCGAAAUCUCGGCUGUUAUGUACACCUGAAGGUUAACUGCACUGCAUUAUAUACUGUGUAAUAGGCAUGAAAAGAGCACAUGAAACUCGACAUUUGCCUGCUGAGUACACUUUGAAAUAUUUCAGUGGGUCACCUGUGUCUUCCACAUCAAACAUCUUGACAAGAGUCCAAAAACUGGAAGUUAGGUGGGCAUUCAGGGGCCUUGUUCUGCGUUUGUUCACAUUGAAAAAAGUGAUCAGGUGUCUGCCAUAACAUCUACUUGGCUAAUAAGCAGAGGGAAAGCUGUGUGGCCACCAUAUAAGAACUCUCACAGAAUAUCAUUAACGAUUAAAAACUCGGCAAUUCCAAUGACCACAGCAAUUCCAAUGACCACCUGGGAAGAAUGCAGCUGCAAGUGUGGUGACAAAUGAAUGAUUCAUAGAAACAUUCAUAGAAAUGGAUGAUUGCACUGUAAUGUUGACUUCGUUACUGAAGUGCUUUAUCCUAUGUUGUUUUUUUUCUCUCU